GAUGAACGCUGGCGGCGCGCUUAACACAUGCAAGUCGAACGGGAUAUCCAUUUCGGUGGAUGGAGAGUGGCGCACGGGUGAGUAACACGUAGCUCAUCUGCCCUCAAGCGGGGGAUAACGGUUCGAAAGGACUGCUAAGACCCCAUAAGCUCACGGGAAGUAGCACACGGUGAGAAAAGCUGAGGCGCUUGAGGAGGAGGCUGCGGCCCAUCAGGUAGUUGGGCGGUAACGGCGCACC
This 238-nucleotide ribosomal RNA is filed under the name uncultured bacterium. RNAcentral's name for it is "partial 16S ribosomal RNA". It matches the Rfam family "Bacterial small subunit ribosomal RNA", at positions 28 to 269 of the family's 1533-position model. The record is from RNAcentral.